Molecule: transfer RNA, 88 nt
Filed under: Gammaproteobacteria bacterium
Lineage: Bacteria; Pseudomonadati; Pseudomonadota; Gammaproteobacteria
Also listed under: 2 other names
Description: tRNA-Leu
Rfam family: tRNA
About the family: Transfer RNA (tRNA) molecules are approximately 80 nucleotides in length.
Source: RNAcentral
GCCCGGGUGGUGAAAUUGGUAGACACAGGGGACUUAAAAUCCCCCGACCGUUGAGGUCGUGCCGGUUCAAGUCCGGCCCCGGGCACCA